This 293-nucleotide ribosomal RNA is filed under the name uncultured bacterium. RNAcentral's name for it is "partial 16S ribosomal RNA". The record is from RNAcentral.
GGACUACCCGGGUAUCUAAUCCGUUUUGCUCCCCACGCUUUCAUGCCUCAAUGUCAGGAACAGAAUAGUUAACUGCCUUCGCCUUUUUCGGUGGUUCCACAUGGAUCAACGGAUUUCACCCCUACGCAUGCACCUCCGUCAACCUCUUCUGUCCUCGAGUAAAACAGUAUUACCAGUUUCCACCAAGUUGAGCCUGAUUUCUACUAAUAACUUAUUUCACCAUCUACGCAUCCUUUACGCCCAAUAAAUCCGGAUAACGUUUGCCACCUAUGUCUUACCGCGGCUGCUGGCAC